Long non-coding RNA from Cynara cardunculus var. scolymus (artichoke), 393 nucleotides. RefSeq lists it as uncharacterized. Lineage: Eukaryota; Viridiplantae; Streptophyta; Magnoliopsida; Asterales; Asteraceae. The transcript has 3 exons. The record is from RefSeq and is a predicted model, not a curated record.
AUCUCAUCUUCAUAAACCUAGAGAUUUCUUGUUAAAUCUUUGAGUUUUUGAAGAAUUGAUGUUAUAAUCGGAACUAGGAACUCAAGAUAAGGUUAAAAAUUGAAGAUUGAUGAAAUUUCUUUAAGUUGGUGCUGUUAGAGGAGGCAGAUUCGUUUCUGUUCAAGAUCUAACUUAGGGGCAGAAUGAAGGGUCGAGAUGGCUUAGGAUUCUAAAAGACUAGCGGUUGAAUAUAGUGUUUUUGCUAUGUUGUUAGGUGAAUAUGUUAGUGAUAUGUAAUAUUAUGGUUGUAAUGUUUUUUUUUGGGAGUUCCAUUAGAGCUCUGUACUAUAAAUGGUAGACUUUUGAUCCGUUUUCGGUUGUGACAUGUCUCAUCUUAAGUUUAGUAGGAUGGGG